Molecule: transfer RNA, 101 nt
Filed under: Cordyceps fumosorosea ARSEF 2679
Lineage: Eukaryota; Fungi; Ascomycota; Sordariomycetes; Hypocreales; Cordycipitaceae
Description: Isaria fumosorosea ARSEF 2679 tRNA
Rfam family: tRNA
About the family: Transfer RNA (tRNA) molecules are approximately 80 nucleotides in length. Their secondary structure includes four short double-helical elements and three loops (D, anti-codon, and T loops). Further hydrogen bonds mediate the characteristic L-shaped molecular structure. tRNAs have two regions of fundamental functional importance: the anti-codon, which is responsible for specific mRNA codon recognition, and the 3' end, to which the tRNAs corresponding amino acid is attached (by aminoacyl-tRNA synthetases). tRNAs cope with the degeneracy of the genetic code in two manners: having more than one tRNA (with a specific anti-codon) for a particular amino acid; and 'wobble' base-pairing, i.e. permitting non-standard base-pairing at the 3rd anti-codon position.
Source: Rfam by way of RNAcentral
GCUCGCCUAGCUCAGUUGGUUAGAGCGUCGUACUAAUAAUUGGAUACAUCAUUCAAUAUUCAGUAAUGCGAAGGUCGUAGGUUCAAUCCCUGCGGUGAGCA